UUUAUUGAACCUUCCGAGUCUAGGGCGGUGGGUGUACGCAUAGGCUCAGCUAGGUAUUUGGUUGCCCAGAGUAGCCGAUUAUUUACGAUGUUAUUGAUACUGUUAUUAUCAUUGUUAUGAUCAUUAUUAUAGCUAGCCUAUGACAGAUUGGUCAUGGAUCCGGUAUUAGGAUUGAGGUAUGUCUUCGACCUUUGCUAUCUUAUGAUUACAUUACUA
RNAcentral lists this long non-coding RNA (216 nucleotides) under Capsicum annuum. RNAcentral's name for it is "long non-coding RNA (CANN_LNC013462)". The record is from RNAcentral. Lineage: Eukaryota; Viridiplantae; Streptophyta; Magnoliopsida; Solanales; Solanaceae.